GUGGCAGACGGGUGAGUAACGCGUGGGAACGUACCUUUCACUACGGAAUAGCUCUGGGAAACUGGUGGUAAUACCGUAUACGCCCUCAGGGGGAAAGAUUUAUCGGUGAAAGAUCGGCCCGCGUUGGAUUAGCUAGUUGGUGAGGUAAUGGCUCACAAAGGCGACGAUCCAUAGCUGGUCUGAGAGGAUGAUCAGCCACACUGGGACUGAGACACGGCCCAGACUCCUACGGGAGGCAGCAGUGGGGAAUCUUGCACAAUGGGCGAAAGCCUGAUGCAGCCAUGCCGCGUGAAUGAUGAAGGCCUUAGGGUUGUAAAAUUCUUUCGUCAGGGAUGAUAAUGACCGUACCUGAAGAAGAAGCCCCGGCUAACUUCGUGCCAGCAGCCGCGGUAAUACGAAGGGGGCUAGCGUUGUUCGGAAUUACUGGGCGUAAAGCGCACGUAGGCGGACUUUUAAGUCAGGUGUGAAAUCCCGGGGCUCAACCUCGGAACUGCAUUUGAAACUGGAAGUCUGGAGAUCAGGAGAGGUUAGCGGAAUACCGAGUGUAGAGGUGAAAUUCGUAGAUAUUCGGUGGAACACCAGUGGCGAAGGCGGCUAACUGGACUGAUACUGACGCUGAGGUGCGAAAGUGUGGGGAGCAAACAGGAUUAGAUACCCUGGUAGUCCAC
RNAcentral lists this ribosomal RNA (668 nucleotides) under uncultured Hyphomonadaceae bacterium. RNAcentral describes it as "bacterial SSU rRNA". It matches the Rfam family "Bacterial small subunit ribosomal RNA", at positions 95 to 798 of the family's 1533-position model. Lineage: Bacteria; Pseudomonadati; Pseudomonadota; Alphaproteobacteria; Hyphomonadales; Hyphomonadaceae. The record is from RNAcentral.